Molecule: ribosomal RNA, 253 nt
Filed under: uncultured bacterium
Lineage: Bacteria
Description: partial 16S ribosomal RNA
Rfam family: Bacterial small subunit ribosomal RNA
Source: RNAcentral
UACGUAGGGUGCAAGCGUUGUCCGGAAUUAUUGGGCGUAAAGAGCUCGUAGGCGGUCUGUCGCGUCGGCUGUGAAAACCCGGGGCUCAACCCCGGGCCUGCAGUCGAUACGGGCAGACUAGAGUGUGGUAGGGGAGACUGGAAUUCCUGGUGUAGCGGUGAAAUGCGCAGAUAUCAGGAGGAACACCAAUGGCGAAGGCAGCUCGCUGGAACGGUACUGACGCUGAGGCGCGAAAGCGUGGGGAGCAAACAGG